GGUGACUCAGUGGUAGAGCACUUGCCUUGCAUGCAUGAGGCCCUGAGUUCGAUCUCUCAGCACCA
This 65-nucleotide transfer RNA is filed under the name Dipodomys ordii (Ord's kangaroo rat). It matches the Rfam family "tRNA". Rfam says of the family: Transfer RNA (tRNA) molecules are approximately 80 nucleotides in length. Their secondary structure includes four short double-helical elements and three loops (D, anti-codon, and T loops). Further hydrogen bonds mediate the characteristic L-shaped molecular structure. tRNAs have two regions of fundamental functional importance: the anti-codon, which is responsible for specific mRNA codon recognition, and the 3' end, to which the tRNAs corresponding amino acid is attached (by aminoacyl-tRNA synthetases). tRNAs cope with the degeneracy of the genetic code in two manners: having more than one tRNA (with a specific anti-codon) for a particular amino acid; and 'wobble' base-pairing, i.e. permitting non-standard base-pairing at the 3rd anti-codon position. The record is from Rfam by way of RNAcentral. Lineage: Eukaryota; Metazoa; Chordata; Mammalia; Rodentia; Heteromyidae.